GCCACCAUAGCUCAGUGGUAGAGCAUCAAAUGCAUUAUUCGAAGGUCGCAGGUUCGAUCCCCGCUGGUGGCA
Non-coding RNA from Rhipicephalus microplus (southern cattle tick), 72 nucleotides. Lineage: Eukaryota; Metazoa; Arthropoda; Arachnida; Ixodida; Ixodidae. The record is from the annotation of a RefSeq genome assembly.